RNAcentral lists this ribosomal RNA (467 nucleotides) under uncultured bacterium. RNAcentral's name for it is "partial 16S ribosomal RNA". It matches the Rfam family "Bacterial small subunit ribosomal RNA", at positions 28 to 506 of the family's 1533-position model. The record is from RNAcentral.
GACGAACGCUGGCGGCGUGCUUAACACAUGCAAGUCGAACGGAAAGGCCCUGCUUUUGUGGGGUGCUCGAGUGGCGAACGGGUGAGUAACACGUGAGUAACCUGCCCUUGACUUUGGGAUAACUUCAGGAAACUGGGGCUAAUACCGGAUAGGAGCUCCUGCUGCAUGGUGGGGGAUGGAAAGUUUCGGCGGUUGGGGAUGGACUCGCGGCUUAUCAGCUUGUUGGUGGGGUAGUGGCUUACCAAGGCUCUGACGGGUAGCCGGCCUGAGAGGGUGACCGGCCACAUUGGGACUGAGAUACGGCCCAGACUGCUACGGGAGGCAGCAGUGGGGAAUAUUGCACAAUGGGCGGAGGCCUGAUGCAGCAACGCCGCGUGCGGGAUGACGGCCUUCGGGUAGUAAACCGCUUUCGCCUGUGACGAAGCGUGAGUAACGGUAAUGGGGAAAGAAGCACCGGCUAACUACGU